UUACGUUCAUCUACUUAAUCGUAGACGCAUCAAUACAUCAUUCAUGGAACGGGGGAUGGUG
Molecule: non-coding RNA, 61 nt
Submitted as: unclassified sequences
Source: Rfam